This 253-nucleotide ribosomal RNA is filed under the name uncultured bacterium. Its description in RNAcentral is "partial 16S ribosomal RNA". It matches the Rfam family "Bacterial small subunit ribosomal RNA", at positions 524 to 776 of the family's 1533-position model. The record is from RNAcentral.
UACGUAGGGUCCGAGCGUUGUCCGGAAUUACUGGGCGUAAAGAGCUCGUAGGUGGUUUGUCGCGUCUGCUGUGAAAACCUAAGGCUCAACCUUGGGCUUGCAGUGGGUACGGGCAGACUAGAGUGCGGUAGGGGUGACUGGAAUUCCUGGUGUAGCGGUGGAAUGCGCAGAUAUCAGGAGGAACACCGGUGGCGAAGGCGGCGUCCUGGACCAACACUGACGCUGAUGAGCGAAAGCCAGGGGAGCAAACGGG